UACGUAGGGGGCAAGCGUUAUCCGGAUUUACUGGGUGUAAAGGGAGCGCAGACGGAUAAGUAAGUCUGAAGUGAAACCCCACUGCUCAACAGUGGGCAUGCUUUGGAAACUAUUUAACUAGAGUGCUGGAGAGGCAAGCGGAAUUCCUGGUGUAGCGGUGAAAUGCGUAGAUAUCAGGAGGAACACCGGCGGCGAAGGCGGCUUGCUGGACAGUAACUGACGUUGAGGCUCGAAGGCGUGGGGAGCAAAC
RNAcentral lists this ribosomal RNA (250 nucleotides) under uncultured prokaryote. RNAcentral's name for it is "partial 16S ribosomal RNA". It matches the Rfam family "Bacterial small subunit ribosomal RNA", at positions 524 to 773 of the family's 1533-position model. The record is from RNAcentral.